This 271-nucleotide long non-coding RNA is filed under the name Lathyrus oleraceus (garden pea). RNAcentral's name for it is "Pisum sativum (pea) long non-coding RNA (PSAT_LNC032777)". The record is from RNAcentral. Lineage: Eukaryota; Viridiplantae; Streptophyta; Magnoliopsida; Fabales; Fabaceae.
GGACCCUUUUUGAGAACUUCACUGACGUGAAAAAGGCUCGUUGGAUAGUAAUAACCUCAAGAUGAUGUCUUCUAGGUGAUGUCUUCGUAUCAUCCCAACGAGGAAGAUACCUUGCAGGCCAACAAUACACAACCAUCGACUCCAAGGUUCUAAAAAGGUCCCUGGUGUCAUCGAUCCAACUUGGAAACAUUAUCACUAUGAGGAAGGCUUGUCAGACAAUAACAUCUCUAAGAGAAUCUACUCUAGGAGGGGUCUUCGUAUCAUACAAACA